This 213-nucleotide ribosomal RNA is filed under the name uncultured Cellvibrio sp. RNAcentral's name for it is "partial 16S ribosomal RNA". It matches the Rfam family "Bacterial small subunit ribosomal RNA", at positions 339 to 543 of the family's 1533-position model. Lineage: Bacteria; Pseudomonadati; Pseudomonadota; Gammaproteobacteria; Cellvibrionales; Cellvibrionaceae. The record is from RNAcentral.
CUACGGGAGGCAGCAGUGGGGAAUAUUGGACAAUGGGCGAAAGCCUGAUGCAGCCAUGCCGCGUGUGUGAAGAAGGCCCUAGGGUUGUAAAGCACUUUCAGUGGGGAGAAUAGUGAUUCACCUAAUACGUGAGUUAAUUGAUGUUACCCACAGAAGAAGCACCGGCUAACUCCGUGCCAGCAGCCGCGGUAAUACGGAGGGUGCAAGCGUUAA